AAAUGUUUCUACGGCAAAGUCUCCACUCAUUACGGAUAUGGAGGUGGUGCAACGCCUUACUCAACCGUGCUUCUGGCUACAUGAGUGCGUUAGCGAUGCAGACGAUGAAGCAUUGAUUGAGAUUAAGUUGUCGGACCGCCAAUUCCACUACAUUGAGGAAACAUCAACCUUCAUUUCUAAGGUUGAUAUCAAAGAAUUCUUACUUGGGGACGAGUUGAAUGUUUCCAUGAUACAAACAUUCAUGAGGCUAUUAUACAAUGAUUUGAGGCAAUCUAGUCAGCCAAUUUGGUUGGUUAUGUCCAAGCUUUGUACGAGAUAACAGUUGCGUAAAAAACGAAGAGGAGGUGAAAGCAUAUCUCAAGGAAUCUUUGAACGCAUGUUCUCGUAGUGGAUAUAAGAUCAUUCUUCUUCCUUACGUUGAAUCGAACCAUUGGACACUGAUUGCAAUAUGUUUGUCACGUAACGAAGUCUACCACUUUGAUUCUUUGCGUAAAGGAACAAUACGGUCCUUACUAGUCAAAUCAUUGUUAAAUAGUGUGAUGAAGAAGCGUAGUGCAUCUGGACUUCGACAAGGAAAACCUCCUGUUUGGUAUUUAGUCGAGUGUCCGGUACAAGAAGGUGGACUUGCGUGUGGGUAUUACGUCAUGAGGUUCAUGCUCGAUAUCGUCAACUAUUGCAAAGAUGUUGGUGAUCUUCGAAAGGUAUGUAACUUUUAGGUUUCC
Molecule: long non-coding RNA, 722 nt
Organism: Beta vulgaris subsp. vulgaris (sugar beet)
Lineage: Eukaryota; Viridiplantae; Streptophyta; Magnoliopsida; Caryophyllales; Amaranthaceae
Exons: 5
Source: RefSeq, a predicted model, not a curated record